CCCAGACUCCUACGGGAGGCAGCAGUGAGGAAUAUUGGUCAAUGGCCGAGAGGCCGAACCAGCCAAGUCGCGUGAGGGAAGACGGCCCUACGGGUUGUAAACCUCUUUUGUCGGGGAGCAAAGCGAGUCACGUGUGACUCAUUGAGAGUACCCGAAGAAAAAGCAUCGGCUAACUCCGUGCCAGCAGCCGCGGUAAUACGGAGGAUGCGAGCGUUAUCCGGAUUUAUUGGGUUUAAAGGGUGCGCAGGCGGAGGUGCAAGUCCGCGGUAAAAUGCGGGGGCCCAACCUGCGUCCGCCGUUGAAACUGGCGUUCUUGAGUGGGCGAGAAGUACGCGGAAUGCGUGGUGUAGCGGUGAAAUGCAUAGAUAUCACGCAGAACCCCGAUUGCGAAGGCAGCAUACCGGCGCGCAACUGACGCUCAUGCACGAAAGCGUGGGUAUCGAACAGGAUUAGAUACCCGCGUA
Molecule: ribosomal RNA, 464 nt
Filed under: uncultured bacterium
Lineage: Bacteria
Description: bacterial SSU rRNA
Rfam family: Bacterial small subunit ribosomal RNA
Source: RNAcentral